Capra hircus (goat) is the source of this 1537-nucleotide RNA transcript. It is a transcript of the gene named protein tyrosine phosphatase type IVA 1 pseudogene, with no coding region annotated. The transcript has a single exon. Lineage: Eukaryota; Metazoa; Chordata; Mammalia; Artiodactyla; Bovidae. The record is from RefSeq and is a predicted model, not a curated record.
AAAUCCACAGAGCAUUUUUAUACAAGAAUUCUGAUCUGGAUGGGGUAAACCUCAGUGCACUUCCUUUCUAUUGCCUCAGUAUUACUGGAUUGAAGAAUUGCUGCUUCUUGUUAAGAGGUUCAUUCAUUCAUUACUCCCAACUUCAUUCUUAAAAGCACUGAGAAUUUCAAGUGGAGUAUAUUAAAGUUGACUGUGUUUCUUUGCAUCAUUUCUGUAUUCAAUUUUUUAAAUUCUUUCAUAUCCCUAUUGAGUGUUUUUUAAGUAAAUUAACAUGGCUCGAAUGAACCGCCCAGCUCCUGUGGAAGUUACUACAGGAACAUGAGAUUUCUUAUUACACACAACCCAACUAAUGCAACAUUAAGCAAAUUUAUAGAGGAACUUAAGAAGUAUGGAGUUACCACAAUUGUAAGAGUAUGUGAAGCAACUUACGACACUACUCUUGUGGAGAAGGAAGGCAUCCAUGUUCUCAAUUGGCCUUUUGAUGAUGGCGCACCACCAUCUAACCAGAUUGUUGAUGAUUGGUUAAGUCUUGUGAAAAUUAAGUUUCGUGAAGACCCUGGUUGUUGUAUUGCUGUUCAUUGUGUUGCAGGCCUUGGCAGAGCUCCAGUGCUUGUUGCCCUAGCAUUAAUUGAAGGUGGAAUGAAAUACGAAGAUGCAGUACAGUUCAUAAGACAAAAGCGGCGAGGAGCUUUUAACAGCAAGCAACUUUUGUAUUUGGAGAAGUAUCAUCCUAAAAUGCGGCUGCGCUUCAAAGACUCCAAUGGGCAUAGAAACAACUGUUGCAUUCAGUAAAACCAGGGUGCAUGAUGCCAUUGAUUGGAAGUGGAAGCUGAGAUGGAAUGGAAUUUGUCGUACAUAGCAGAUAGCCCGGUUGACUUGGUGAAUAAGUCUGAUGAAGCUUCCAUAGGAGUGUUGAAAAGCAGUUUCACCAGGCCAUAGGCCUGGCAGAAUUGUAGACUCUGUUCAGGUUAUGAUCAGCCUAUUUGGAUACUAGUAAAGAAUUCUUGCUGUUCAGCAUUUAAUAUGUGCUUAUAAUUUAUACCAAUUGACCUUUCCUGAAAUCAUGCUGUAUUGAGUCAUGUCAUUAAAUCUGUUUCCAUGCCAGAAUCUUACCAAUAUAUAAGAAAUUUAGAAAGACUAGGUGCCAAAAUACCCAGCACAAUACUUGUAUAUUUUUAGUAUCAUAUAGAACAAAUCCCAGGAACUAUGAACACCCUGGACCUUAUGUGGUUUAUUCCUUGCAUCAUGUCAAACAUAGAAAAUAGGGCCUAUGAGGUUUGUUUGCUCACAAUAUGUUUACAUCUCCCACAUUCAUACCAGUAUACAUUAGAUUUGCUCCCUUUUUAUUAACCAAGUCUUACAGUGAUUAUUUAAUAUCUUUCUAUAAAUCUCAUUUUAUGUUGUAGAAGGCCUCCAUUUUGAAAAUCUACAUUGUACAGAAGCACAUGUCUUUAAUGUCUCCAGACAAAAGCCUUACAGUUCAUUUUAAUGUUUGCACUUUGGGGUGCAACUUACAGGGAGGGCCUGAAAAAAGAAU